CAUGCAAGUCGAGGGGCAGCACGGUGUAGCAAUACAUUGGUGGCGACCGGCGCACGGGUGAGUAACGCGUAUGCAACCUACCUAUCAGAGGGGAAUAACCCGGCGAAAGUCGGACUAAUACCGCAUAAAACAGGGGUUCCACAUGGAAAUAUUUGUUAAAGAUUUAUCGCUGAUAGAUGGGCAUGCGUUCCAUUAGAUAGUUGGUGAGGUAACGGCUCACCAAGUCCACGAUGGAUAGGGGUUCUGAGAGGAAGGUCCCCCACACUGGUACUGAGACACGGACCAGACUCCUACGGGAGGCAGCAGUGAGGAAUAUUGGUCAAUGGGCGAGAGCCUGAACCAGCCAAGUCGCGUGAAGGAUGAAGGAUCUAUGGUUUGUAAACUUCUUUUAUAUGGGAAUAAAGUGAGGAACGUGUUCCUUUUUGUAUGUACCAUAUGAAUAAGCAUCGGCUAACUCCGUGCCAGCAGCCGCGGUAAUACGGAGGAUGCGAGCGUUAUCCGGAUUUAUUGGGUUUAAAGGGUGCGUAGGUGGUUAAUUAAGUCAGCGGUGAAAGUUUGUGGCUCAACCAUAAAAUUGCCGUUGAAACUGGUUGACUUGAGUAUAUUUGAGGUAGGCGGAAUGCGUGGUGUA
RNAcentral lists this ribosomal RNA (631 nucleotides) under uncultured bacterium. Its description in RNAcentral is "bacterial SSU rRNA". It matches the Rfam family "Bacterial small subunit ribosomal RNA", at positions 54 to 677 of the family's 1533-position model. The record is from RNAcentral.